CCGGAUUUUGUGGGCUUCAAGCUCAUUUUGGUCCUCUCAUUCAAUUCAUGCAAUGAAUCUUGAAACACAAAAAUAAUGCUUUCUUUAGUCUUUCACCAAACAAUUAACAGAAAAGAUGUUAGCUUUUGUUUAUCAGAACUUGAUAUAGCAUCAAAUGAAUUACACAACACAUAUAAAUUUAGAUACAUAGAGUGGAAUUCUUGGUUCUCUUGGUCUGUUCACUCUCCAAGGCGGAUUGUUAGAAUGUCUGCAAUUGAUACCAGAAAUCCAAGUACAUUGUUCCAAUCAAUGACAAUAAAGCCUCCUUCACAUCCUACCUAUGAUUUGAAGGGAGUCAUUAAGCUAGCUCUUGCUGAAGAUGCUGGAGAUCGAGGAGAUGUGACUUGUAUCGCAACCGUUCCAUCUGAAAUGGAAGUGGAAGCCUAUUUCUUGGCAAAAGAGGAUGGUAUCAUUGCAGGAAUUGCAUUAGCCGAAAUGCUGUUCCAUGAGGUCGAUCCCUCUCUGACGGUGGAAUGGUCUCGGAAAGAUGGAGAUUAUGUACAUAAAGGACUACAGUUUGGAAAAGUCUCUGGGCGAGCGCAUAAUAUUGUUGUAGCUGAAAGGGUAGCACUAAACUUUAUGCAGAGGAUGAGUGGAAUAGCAACUCUAACUAAGGCAAUGGCGGAUGCUGCAAGCCCGGCGUGUAUCCUAGAGACUCGAAAAACAGCUCCAGGUCUACGUUUGGUAGAUAAGUGGGCGGUGCUGAUUGGUGGAGGGAAAAAUCACAGGAUGGGUUUAUUUGAUAUGGUUAUGAUAAAAGAUAAUCAUAUAUCAAUAGCAGGAGGUAUCAUAAAUGCCAUCAGAUCUGUUGAUCAGUAUCUAGAGCAAAAGAAUCUUCAAAUGGAGGUUGAGGUUGAGACCAGAACACUUGAGGAAGUAAAUGAGGUGUUACAUUAUACAUCACAAACAAGGACUUCUGUGACCAGGAUAAUGUUGGACAAUAUGGUUAUACCACUACCAAAUGGGGAUGUCGAUGUAACAAUGCUUAAAAAUGCUGUGGAAUUGAUUAAUGGAAGAUUUGAGACUGAGGCAUCAGGCAAUGUUACUCUUGAAACUGUACACAAAAUUGGACAGACUGGAGUAACCUACAUUUCUAGUGGCGCGCUUACACAUUCGGUAAAAGCACUUGACAUCUCUCUCAAAAUUGACACGGACUUGGCUCUUCAAGUUGGAAGGCGUACUAAACGGGCAUGAUUAUACUCUGCUUCUUCCUUCUGACUUAUAUAGUGGAUCAUCUCUCAGCUUAUAGUGAUUUGAAGAACUGAAUUGAUAUAGUUUAUUAAGGUCACCAUGUCGUUAUUCUAGUCAGAAAUACAGCAUGGAAAUUGGGAAUAAAGGACAACCCAUGCAUGAAAUGUUGUGGGAAAUACACGAACUUCUAUGUAUGCACAUUUCACUAAAUUCACAAGUUGGAAGAGGAUAUGGGGCAUGGAAGUCAUCAUUCUGUCGUCAUUUAGUGACUAGUGAAUGAAGACGAGCAGGACUGUUGCUUACCUAAUACGUGCCCUUGCAUUUUUUUUGUUAUAGGAAUAAUGGCCUCACGUUUUGUUAUGCCAAUAUUGAUUGCCAUUGUAACAUUACGGACAAUAUAGCUACUUGGCUAUGGCUGCAUGAACAAGAUAUUUAUUUCCAUCAA
Ricinus communis (castor bean) is the source of this 1675-nucleotide RNA transcript. It is a transcript of the gene named nicotinate-nucleotide pyrophosphorylase [carboxylating], chloroplastic, with no coding region annotated. The record is from RefSeq and is a predicted model, not a curated record. Lineage: Eukaryota; Viridiplantae; Streptophyta; Magnoliopsida; Malpighiales; Euphorbiaceae. The transcript is spliced from 11 exons.